This 194-nucleotide unclassified non-coding RNA is filed under the name Glomeraceae sp. Its description in RNAcentral is "partial contains 5.8S ribosomal RNA and internal transcribed spacer 2". The stretch from base 1 to 65 matches the Rfam family "5.8S ribosomal RNA", at positions 84 to 154 of the family's 154-position model. Lineage: Eukaryota; Fungi; Glomeromycota; Glomeromycetes; Glomerales; Glomeraceae. The record is from RNAcentral.
GUGAAUCAUCGAAUUUUUGAACGCAAAUUGCACUCUCCUCGGAGAGUAUGCCUGUUUGAGGGUCGGUAGAAUAAAAAAUGGAGGCGUCGCUCUUUUUUGGAGGGGGAUCUCGGCGACAUUGAGCCGUCUUUCAAAUGUUAAUUCAUGUCGAUGUGGCUUAAGAUUCAUUCGUCGGGUACAAUUAAAACGUAUUU